Molecule: ribosomal RNA, 253 nt
Filed under: uncultured Acidobacteriota bacterium
Lineage: Bacteria; Pseudomonadati; Acidobacteriota
Description: uncultured Acidobacteria bacterium partial 16S ribosomal RNA
Rfam family: Bacterial small subunit ribosomal RNA
Source: RNAcentral
UACGUAGGGACCAAGCGUUGUUCGGAUUUACUGGGCGUAAAGGGCGCGUAGGCGGCAGUUCAAGUCAGCUGUGAAAUCUCCGAGCUUAACUCGGAACGGUCAGCUGAUACUGUUUUGCUAGAGUGCAGAAGGGGCAAUCGGAAUUCUUGGUGUAGCGGUGAAAUGCGUAGAUAUCAAGAGGAACACCUGAGGUGAAGACGGGUUGCUGGGCUGACACUGACGCUGAGGCGCGAAAGCUAGGGUAGCAAACGGG